Molecule: transfer RNA, 83 nt
Filed under: Stegodyphus mimosarum
Lineage: Eukaryota; Metazoa; Arthropoda; Arachnida; Araneae; Eresidae
Rfam family: tRNA
About the family: Transfer RNA (tRNA) molecules are approximately 80 nucleotides in length. Their secondary structure includes four short double-helical elements and three loops (D, anti-codon, and T loops). Further hydrogen bonds mediate the characteristic L-shaped molecular structure. tRNAs have two regions of fundamental functional importance: the anti-codon, which is responsible for specific mRNA codon recognition, and the 3' end, to which the tRNAs corresponding amino acid is attached (by aminoacyl-tRNA synthetases). tRNAs cope with the degeneracy of the genetic code in two manners: having more than one tRNA (with a specific anti-codon) for a particular amino acid; and 'wobble' base-pairing, i.e. permitting non-standard base-pairing at the 3rd anti-codon position.
Source: Rfam by way of RNAcentral
AUCUUGGUGGUGUAACGGUAACACACUCGUAUUUGAGAAGUAUUUGUAUUUGAGAAGUCCAGGUUCGAGUCCUGGCGAGGAUA